GAGGGGCUAGGGCUCGGUGGCAGAGCGUCUGUCUCACAUGCAGAAGGUCGCAGGUUCAAUCCCCAGCAUCUCGACU
Molecule: transfer RNA, 76 nt
Filed under: Sphaerodactylus townsendi
Lineage: Eukaryota; Metazoa; Chordata; Lepidosauria; Squamata; Sphaerodactylidae
Description: tRNA-Val
Source: RNAcentral